UCUCAGCCUCUUUCCCCAGUUGAGCCAACA
Molecule: non-coding RNA, 30 nt
Filed under: Mus musculus (house mouse)
Lineage: Eukaryota; Metazoa; Chordata; Mammalia; Rodentia; Muridae
Source: RNAcentral